AGCCAGUCAGGCCUUGUUUCAUGAAAACAAAUCCAGUGAAUUAUUCAGAACAAUCAAGAGUGAAUGCAGGCUGGGUGAGGCUUUGCUGGGUGUGUGGUUGCAAAACUCUGAGAGAUUUGGUUUCCUCUCGUGUAGAAUGAAGAUAAAUGACAACAACCUGGCAGAAAUGUGACCAGGGAAGCUGUAGCCCAAGCUAGUGUCUUAACACCAGUCACUUAACUCAUGAACACCCGAGCACUGGGCAGGCUUGAGGGAGUAAGCAAAGGUGGUUGAAUCUGAGUUUCUAGCCUGGGGAUGUUUUGGUGAAGCGUAUAUAUUUGGGGCAGGAAGAAAAAAGGAGCAGGAAAGAUGGUGGGGUUGUACCACCGAGGUGUGCUGGUCACUUUGUUUAGGCACAGUUUAACCGUCUUUGUGUUUCUCAGUGGAAUGAAAUGUUUUCCAAAUUUGGACAAGGCUGAGUAGCCAAUGGGCUGCUGCAGUGAGUCCUCUGCAAAUGAGCUCAAGCAAAGUUUAUUGUUUACUGUGUCCUGGGCACGUGAGCGGGGCAGACAGUGCCUCGCUUUGUGGAUGCCACAGACAUUCCACAGAAGAACCAAUGUCAGAGCUGUGCUGGAGGACAGGGUGCCGGUAAAACUCCAACAAGUUCUGCUUCCCACUCAUCUGGGAACCACCUGCCUCUCAGGCAAGAAGACCUUAUGGCACCCAACGUUGGAAUUGGAAGCAGGUUUUGGGGCUCAGAGCAGCUAACUGCAAGUGUAAUCUCUGAGAGCAGAUUUGGGGUCUGCUGAGAUCUCACACUACUGAGUUAGAGACAUUCCAGAAGUCUCAGCUUUCUACGCAGCCCUGAGGAAAUGGAGGAUUGCCGCAGAGGCUCUUUGCUCUCCCGUCUCACCUCCCUGCUUCUCUUCUUCCAGUUGCCUGCUGGGGGGUCUGUAGAGGAGUUUGUGGUGAUUGGCCCCCCGGGCCCCAUUGUGGCAGUGAUUGGUGGGAACGUCACGCUGCCCUGUCAUGUGUCCCCAGCCAUGGAUGUGGAAAACAUGGAGCUGCGGUGGUUCCGCUCCAAGUUCUCAGAGGCAGUGUUCAUCUAUGAAAACCAGCAGGAACAGAAAGAAGAGCAGCUGGCUCAGUACACAGGGCGGACCUCGCUGGUGAAGGACUUCCUCAGCCAGGGGGAGGCCACUGUGCGUAUCCACAAGGUCCAGGCUUCCGACAACGGACUGUAUACAGCUUCUUCAGAAAGGGAAGUUUCUAUGAAGAGGCCAGUUUGGAGCUGA
RNAcentral lists this long non-coding RNA (1274 nucleotides) under Felis catus (domestic cat). RNAcentral describes it as "lncRNA (ENSFCAG00000047304.1)". Lineage: Eukaryota; Metazoa; Chordata; Mammalia; Carnivora; Felidae. The record is from RNAcentral.